Molecule: ribosomal RNA, 322 nt
Filed under: uncultured bacterium
Lineage: Bacteria
Description: bacterial SSU rRNA
Rfam family: Bacterial small subunit ribosomal RNA
Source: RNAcentral
UAGCAAUACGGAGUGGCAGACGGGUGAGUAACGCGUGGGAACCUUCCCUAUGGUUCGGAAUAGCUCAGGGAAACCUGGGGUAAUACCGGAUAAGCCCUUCGGGGGAAAGAUUUAUCGCCAUUGGAUGGGCCCGCGUAGGAUUAGCUAGUUGGUGAGGUAAUGGCUCACCAAGGCGACGAUCCUUAGCUGGUCUGAGAGGAUGAUCAGCCACACUGGGACUGAGACACGGCCCAGACUCCUACGGGAGGCAGCAGUGGGGAAUAUUGGACAAUGGGCGCAAGCCUGAUCCAGCCAUGCCGCGUGAGUGACGAAGGCCUUAGGG